This 440-nucleotide ribosomal RNA is filed under the name uncultured bacterium. RNAcentral's name for it is "partial 16S ribosomal RNA". It matches the Rfam family "Bacterial small subunit ribosomal RNA", at positions 338 to 795 of the family's 1533-position model. The record is from RNAcentral.
CCUACGGGAGGCAGCAGUGGGGAAUAUUGCACAAUGGGGGAAACCCUGAUGCAGCGACGCCGCGUGAGUGAAGAAGGAUUUCGGUAUGUAAAGCUCUAUCAGCAGGGAAGAAAAUGACGGUACCUGAGUAAGAAGCCACGGCUAACUACGAGCCAGCAGCCGCGGUAAUACGGAGGGGGCAAGCGUUAUCCGGAUUUACUGGGGUUAAAGGGAGCGUAGACGGCAGCACAAGUCUGGCGUGAAAUGCCGGGGCUUAACCCCGGAACUGCUUUGGAAACUGUGCAGCUUGAGUGCAGGAGAGGUAAGUGGAAUUCCUGGUGUAGCGGUGACAUGCGUAGAUAUUAGGAGGAACACCAGUGGCGAAGGCGGCUUACUGGACUGUAACUGACGUUGAGGCUCGAACGCGUGGGGAGCAAACAGGAUUAGAUACCCCGGUAGUC